GGUGAACGUUCGUAGCGUGGAUAAGGCAUGCAAAUCGUACGGGUCUAAGAUAGAUUUAUCUAUCUUAGAAUACGUGGUAAACGGGGCAGUAAUGCAUACCUAAUCUACCCCAAGGAUAGACAUAACCUCCGAAAGGAGACUAAUGUCUAAUAAUAAUAUCUCUACACAAGUAGAGGUAUUUAAAGGAUAAGAUUAUUCUUAUCCGCCUUGGGAGGAGGGUAUGUUCGAUCAGCUAGUUGGUGAGGUAAUGGCUCACCAAGGCUAUGACCGAUAGGGGGUCUGAGAGGAUGUUCCCCGCCAAGGGCACUGAGACACGGGCCCUACUCCUACGGGAGGCAGCAGCCGAGAAUAUUGGGCAAUGGGCGAAAGCCUGACCCAGCGACGCUACGUGCCAGAAGAAGCUCUUCGGAGUGUAAAUGGCUUUUCUGCAGGAUGAAGCCUUAUGGUUUUUAACAUAAGGUUGACAGUACUGCAGGAAUAAGGGACGACUAACUCCGUGCCAGCAGUCGCGGUAAGACGAAGGUCCCAAACGUUACCCGGAUUUACUG
RNAcentral lists this ribosomal RNA (548 nucleotides) under uncultured bacterium. RNAcentral describes it as "bacterial SSU rRNA". It matches the Rfam family "Bacterial small subunit ribosomal RNA", at positions 28 to 556 of the family's 1533-position model. The record is from RNAcentral.